UUAAGAAUCCUGGAGACUGAUGUCUGCCAUUUAUCCACAGAAAAGGCAGUGGCAGAGCAAGCUUCUCCACAUUGCCCUGCCAAUGUACAUCAGCACUGUUCUGAAAGGACCACUUGUAGGAAAGGAGAGAGUAGUUCAAGUUUCUGUGCCUGUGUCAAGCUAUUGCAUGG
This is an unclassified non-coding RNA of Chelonoidis abingdonii (Abingdon island giant tortoise), 170 nucleotides long. Lineage: Eukaryota; Metazoa; Chordata; Testudines; Testudinidae. The record is from Ensembl.